Molecule: ribosomal RNA, 278 nt
Filed under: uncultured Pasteurellales bacterium
Lineage: Bacteria; Pseudomonadati; Pseudomonadota; Gammaproteobacteria; Pasteurellales
Description: partial 16S ribosomal RNA
Rfam family: Bacterial small subunit ribosomal RNA
Source: RNAcentral
UGUGCCAGCAGCCGCGGUAAUACGGAGGGUGCGAGCGUUAAUCGGAAUAACUGGGCGUAAAGGGCACGCAGGCGGACUUUUAAGUGAGGUGUGAAAGCCCCGGGCUUAACCUGGGAAUUGCAUUUCAGACUGGGAGUCUAGAGUACUUUAGGGAGGGGUAGAAUUCCACGUGUAGCGGUGAAAUGCGUAGAGAUGUGGAGGAAUACCGAAGGCGAAGGCAGCCCCUUGGGAAUGUACUGACGCUCAUGUGCGAAAGCGUGGGGAGCAAACAGGAUUAG